This 274-nucleotide ribosomal RNA is filed under the name uncultured bacterium. Its description in RNAcentral is "partial 16S ribosomal RNA". It matches the Rfam family "Bacterial small subunit ribosomal RNA", at positions 523 to 796 of the family's 1533-position model. The record is from RNAcentral.
AUACGGAGGGUGCAAGCGUUACUCGGAAUCACUGGGCGUAAAGGACGCGUAGGCGGGUUGGCAAGUCAGAUGUGAAAUCCUACAGCUUAACUGUAGAACUGCAUUUGAAACUGCUAACCUAGAGUAUGGGAGGGGGAGAUGGAAUUAGUGGUGUAGGGGUAAAAUCCGUAGAUAUCACUAGGAAUACCGAAAGCGAAGGCGAUCUCCUGGAACAUAGCUGACGCUAAGGCGUGAAAGCGUGGGGAGCAAACAGGAUUAGAAACCCUAGUAGUCC